CAGCAGCCGCGGGAAUACGAAGGGUGCAAGCGUUACUCGGAAUUACUGGGCGUAAAGCGUGCGUAGGCGGUGAGUUAAGUCUGCUGUGAAAUCCCCGGGCUCAACCUGGGAAUGGCAAUGGAUACUGGCAAGCUAGAGUGUGUCAGAGGAUGGUGGAAUUCCCGGUGUAGCGGUGAAAUGCGUAGAGAUCGGGAGGAACAUCAGUGGCGAAGGCGGCCAUCUGGGACAACACUGACGCUGAGGCACGAAAGCGUGGGGAGCAAACAGGAUUAGAUACCCCAGUAGUCCCUGUCUCUUAUAC
RNAcentral lists this ribosomal RNA (301 nucleotides) under uncultured bacterium. RNAcentral describes it as "partial 16S ribosomal RNA". It matches the Rfam family "Bacterial small subunit ribosomal RNA", at positions 509 to 807 of the family's 1533-position model. The record is from RNAcentral.